GAGCAUGCGAGUGAGCAGGUGCGGGCCCCAGAGUGAACCAACGCUGGAACUGGCCAAUCACUCCUCUCUGGUGGGAGCAGGCUCUGUGCAGGCCCUGCAUCGGUGUCCAACCAAUGCUCUUUGAGCUCUGCCAUCCUGGGACAGCCAAGUGCCAACCAGCUCAGUGGAGGAUGGCAGCCCUUGCCCUCUCUGCACCCAGGUUCUUGUCCGGCAUCCAGGAAGAAUCAGGUCUCACAAAUGGCUUGAAAGGCAGUGUAUGUGGAGGAUUUUAUUGGGCAAUGGAAGUGGCUCUCAGCGGGAUAGGGAGUUGGAAAGAGGAUGGUGCCCAAAGAAGGUGAUGUUUCCCUGAAGCCUGGCUGUUUCCAGCCAGACCCCUCUCCAAAGCUGCACCGGCUGAAGUUAGCCAUAUCUUUCCAUAGUCUCUGAUGCUCAGUUGCUUCUCUGCUUGCCAUUAAAUCACUUGAAUCCCUGAUGCUUAGCAGCUUGUAUCCCGAGCACUCAGCCGCUUGUGUUGCUCUGCCAGCUGAAGUCUUUUUAUGGGCACAGGAUGGGGCAUGGAAGGCCAAAAAGGCGUCAUUUGGGUGGAAAAACAGGGUCAGCUGUUUUCACUUAGGGCCACAGUUCCAGGCUCAAGGGUGGGGUUUAGUCGGGAGCCCAGUCCUUCUGUAUCAAUACCAAAGACUGCCAUAAUGGAAAUGCCAAAACUGCUAUAGUAAAAUACCAAAGACUGGAUGGCUUAUAACCAACGUUUAUUUCUCACCGUUCUGGAGGCUGGGAAGUCCAAGGUGCUGGCAGGUGCGGUGCUUGGUGAGGGCCAGCUUCCUAGUUCAGACUUGGUUCAGUUUUUUGGUUUGUCCUCAUGAAUGUUGCUCUUCCAACCCAUUCCAU
RNAcentral lists this long non-coding RNA (888 nucleotides) under Homo sapiens (human). RNAcentral describes it as "HSALNT0036274". The record is from RNAcentral. Lineage: Eukaryota; Metazoa; Chordata; Mammalia; Primates; Hominidae.